Molecule: RNA transcript, 9023 nt
Organism: Cinclus cinclus
Lineage: Eukaryota; Metazoa; Chordata; Aves; Passeriformes; Cinclidae
Gene: SCARF2
Gene name: scavenger receptor class F member 2
Exons: 14
Source: RefSeq, a predicted model, not a curated record
AUGGCGGCCCGUGGGCUGCGACUGUCCCGCCGCGCCCGGGCCGGGGCCGCGCUGCUGCCGCUGCUGCUGCUGCCGGUGCUGAGCCGCGGAGCCGCCCAGGAGCUGAGCCCCCGCGGCAGGAACGUCUGCAGGGCCGGCGGCUCCUUGGUUCUCGUGUGCUGCCUGGGAUGGAGGCAACAAGGAAGCGAGUGUUUAAUAGCCGUGUGUGAGGGGAACUUCACAUGUAAGGAGAACGAGGUAUGCGUCAGGCCCGGCGAGUGCCGCUGCCGCCAUGGCUACUUUGGUGCCAACUGCGACACCAAGUGUCCCCGGCAGUUCUGGGGUCCUGACUGCAAGGAAAUGUGCACCUGCCAUCCCAACGGGCAGUGCGAGGACGUGACGGGCCAGUGCACCUGCAACCUCAACCGCUGGGGCCCCAAGUGCGAGAACAUCUGCCUCUGCAAGCAUGGCAAGUGUGACCAGAAGACAGGCAAAUGCACCUGCGAGCCCAACUGGUGGGGCCCACAGUGCUCCAGCUCCUGCUAUUGCAGCCACAACUCCCAGUGUGACCAGCAGACAGGCAACUGUCUCUGCCAGCCUGGCUGGUGGGGCCGUGGCUGCAACAACCAGUGUUCCUGCAACAACUCACCCUGCGAGCAGUUCACAGGGCGCUGCCAGUGCCGGGAGAGGACCUUCGGGCCUCGCUGCGACCGCUACUGCCAGUGCUACAAGGGCAAGUGCAACCAGGUGGACGGGACCUGCACCUGCGAGCCGGGCUAUCGGGGCAAGUACUGCCGUGAGCCAUGCCCGGCCGGCUUCUACGGCCAAGGCUGCAGGAGGCGGUGUGGACAGUGCAAGAGCCUGCAGCCGUGCACCGUGGCUGACGGGCGCUGCCUGACAUGUGAGGCGGGCUGGAAUGGCACCAAGUGCGACCAGCCCUGCUCGCCUGGCUUCUACGGAGAGGGCUGUGAGAAGCUGUGUCCCCCCUGUAAGGAUGGCCACACCUGCAAUCAUAUCAAUGGCAAAUGCUCCCACUGCAACCCGGGCUGGAUCGGAGACCGGUGUGAAACCAAGUGCCGGAAUGGGACAUAUGGGGAGAACUGCGCCUUCGUCUGCAGCGACUGCGUCAACGGCCAGUGUCACUUCGAGACUGGGCAGUGCCUCUGCCACCCUGGCUCCCAUGGCACAUACUGUAACCUGACUUGCCCUCCUGGACGCUAUGGAGCCAACUGUGCUGAUGUCUGCAGCUGCCACGAUGGCGCCUGUGACCCCCUGACGGGUGCCUGCCACAUGGAGGCCAACCAGAGGAUGGGGGUGAUCGGGGCAGGGGCCCUCCUGGCACUGCUGCUCAUCCUCCUGCUCUCCCUGCUCUGCUGCUGCUGUGUCUACCGCAAGAAGGAUGAAGCCAGCGGCUCCAUCCAGGGCCCAGCAGCAGCCAAGAAGCCUCCAAGACGUUUGUGUGGGAGGUUCAGUCAGAUUGGGAUGAAGCUCCCACGCAUCCCCCUACGCCGCCAGAAGCUGCCCAAGGUCAUGGUGGCCCAUCAUGACCUGGAAAACACCCUGAACUGCAGCUUCAUUGAGCCACCCUCUGUGGUGGAGCAGCCUUCCCCAUCCUGGUCAUCCCGUGGCUCCUUCUCCUCCUUUGACACCACGGACGAGGGGCCUGUGUACUGUGUCCCCCAUGAAGAGAGCAUGGGUGACAGCAAGGACAGAGGGACCCUUGCCAGCCCCGGGGACAAGCUGGUGGCCCCCAUCAGCGGGGAGGAAACAGGUGAAUACACAUUCCUGAAGGAGACAGGCUCUGUCAGAGCCUUCCCGACCGACAGCAGUGAGACCCCCCUGCUCAAGUCCUCGGACAGCGAACGCUCCUCCUGUGGUUCAGGGUCAGCCGGUGCCGCGCUCUACGCCAGGGUUGCCCGCCUCUCCAAGCAGUCCAAGGAGGAGGAGGAUGCCACUGCAGAGCCCCACAGCCCCGAGAAGCCUCCAUCCCCAGAAAGGACCAAGCCCCGUCCUCCAGACCCGGCCACGAAGCCCAAAGUCUCCUGGAUCCACAGCAGGUACAACUCUGGCCAGUCCAACUCGCUGCCAGCACCCAGCCACUCCCCAGAGCAAGUGGCCACCCGGUCCGGCAGCCCCGAGCAAGACCAGAGCUUGGCCAGGAGGAAGAGGAGUCCGAGCGAGAUGUCGGCCAAUGUGCAGGGCAGAGCAGAGGAAAAGGGUGGCACCCGGGGCAAGGAGAAAGCACAGAGGCAACCAAAGGAGCCCGGCAUCCCCGAGGGCAAAUCCAACCUCUGCGGGGAGCCCCAGUCACCCUCCAAACCCAAGCAGAGGGGCAAAGCCAGCUCGGAGCCGACGGAGGCCAUCAAUGGGGCGGUGCAGAACGCCUUCCGAAAGAUGGGCGCCUUCCAGCCAGAGCGGCGGGCCGGGGACACCAGGGAUGCUCCUUGCAGCCCCGGCACCAGCAAACCCCGCUCUGAGCCGCUGCAUCCCCAGUUGGCCUCCGAACUGGCCGCCCAACUGAAGGAAAAGACUCAGAGCCUCAACAAGGGGGACGGAGGCAUCCGGGCGAACGGGAUUGGUGCCCAGCGGGAGAAGCCCACCCCUCCACAGAAAGCCAAGCGCUCAGCUGCUGCCGGCAGCCAGAAGACCAGCAAACCCUUGCUGCCCACCUCUCCCCAUCUGCAAAAACUGAUCCCUGCGGCGGCCGAGACGGCAGCCGAGGAGCCCAAGUGGGUGGAGAAGCCAAGUGCUGGCAGCAGCCAGGAUCAGACUCUCCCCACUGACCAGACUGCCAAGAAAACCCCCAUUAAGAAGCCUCCCAGGAAGAAGAGCCGGGAAACGAGCCUGGAGCCCCCCAGGGCAGCUGCUGUGCCUGCUCAGGCAGUACAGUGACCGGGAACCGGUCACCGGCCCCACACUGGCCGCCUGCCAGGAAGGACAUUUGCCAGCACAAUCAGCGAACGUGGGAGCCUGGAUUGGGCUGGGGGCACUGGAAGAGCCUUGAUCCUCCCUUUAUACCCCUCCACUUCACUCAUCCCACUUUAUGCCUUAGUCCUCCCUGUGCUAGGACACGGUCCCUUCAGCUGUGCCCUGCUCCUGCUCUCUGCCCGGGUCUCAGCUCGCCCUCCCUCUCCACGUAGGGUGGGACCUCAAGGAGCCAGCCCGGCCGCCACCCGGGGGGGCUCUGUGUGUGGCGUAUCCCCCUCACACAAUUUUGUUUUUUUGUAGCAGUAUUAUCAACCGCAUAAGCAGCGCUUGUACUAGAUGUGCCCACGGUAUAUUCUGCAGUAACCGAGCCGCUCGCUUCCUGCGCUCCACUCCGGUCAGUUGGGGUCGCGGAGCAUGGGAGAGGGAGAGAGCUGCUGCUCAGUGCCCAGGGCAGUGCCAGAGAUGUGCCCCACAUCCAUCGUUGGCAGCAGCUCUCCUGCCUCGGCGCCCUCCAGGCACGGCUCUCCACUGCCGGUGCACGCCGGAGUGGGGUCGAGCUGGUUUCGACCGAUGCCACCUUCCCUCCCCUCUGCCCCGGCGCUGCUCCUGGCCAGGAGGAAGCACUAUUUAUGGAUGGAGCUGGAUGCCCUUCGGGCUCCGGCAUCCCAUCCAGUGGAGCUGGAGGGAUUAGUUUGGUAUGAGAGAGCCUGGCACCUCUGCAGAGUGCUUUCCUAAUAAAAAAUUUAUUUCUUCCAUAGGUGGGUGCCAUCUAUCCCUGCCCCUGCCUUCUUGUGGGCAGGCAACAUGCCUAGCCUUGCUUGAGUGCUACCUGGUCCUGAGUGGGAUGCAGUGGGGAGACUAAUGACCUUGCAGCAGUACAGGCAGGUGGUAAGAAGCAGCAGACAGGGUGGAACGCAGGUCCCCACUGGGGCUGCUGCCACACAUGCUCAUCGGGCAUCAGACAUGAGCCCUGAGGACAAACGAGGAGUUUCUCUUCCCCCAGGAUCCAGCAUUGUCCCAAUGGCUGACCAGUCCCAUGGUCAGAGACUCCUCAGUGUAGCCUGGGUCAGACCCUGAGAUUCAAGAGAUCUCUGACCACUAAGCAAAGAAACCCCACCCCUGGGUGCUCAGGGUGCAGGGACACAAUUGUGUGGGGCAUGGGGGUGUGGAGCUCUGAGCUCAGCUUUCUAACCCCCUGCCCAGGGGCUGCCAACCCUGUCAGCAUUUGGGGUCUUCACACAGCCCCAGGCAUGAUGCUGCCAGAGGACAAGGCUGAGACAAGCCCAGGGGCAGCCCAGAAGCUGAGGCUUCUCCCACACAGCUUCUGCCCAAGAUUCCUAAGCAGGACUCUACCUGACAUUAGAGUUGGGGCUGUCUCCUUCCAAGGGAGCCGGGAGCAUUCAUCUCUACCACUGAGCCAUCCUGAGCUGUUCCCACAGUGGGGGAUGAUGUCCCAGAAGACCACCAGACCAAACAACCACAGCAAUCUCAGAGGUGAUGGGGGCAGCUGGCAAGCACCAGAAUGGGAUGGGACCACGUGGAACCAGGACUGCAACCAGCCCAGCACAGCACUCAGGAGGGGAUGGGGCUCUGGCCCACACCAAGGGCAUGGCUCAGCAUUGUGUAGCUGGAGCCAGCACAGUACCUGACACUGGCUGGAGAAGCAUCAUCACAUAACACAAGGCUGAAGAAUGACAUCACCAGCAUUGCUUCACAGGCUUUUGGUCACCUUUCAGAGUUCCUUCACUCUCCCUCUGCUUUCCUUCAUAUUUUAUUUGGGAAGAUGAAGGAGGACAAUGGCUGAAACUAGUCCUCAGACAUCAGACAGUGCAGAAAAAGGAGUGGAUGAAUGAGCUCAAUUUAACCAGAUACAAAACAGAGAAAAUCAAUAGAAAAAUAGGGACACUGACUCUAUGAGACCUAGGAUGGCAUCCAAGCCCUUCUCUCCACCAUGGAGACUGUCAUUGGACGAACUGAAGAGGCUUCUAAGACACUCAGAUUAAUAGCUGCUCAUAGUUUUGUAAAAGAGAAGUAAAGAAGUUGAAUCCAGGCAAUAAAAGGGCAAAACUAAGUGCAAUUUAAGAGGCAAGGUUUGCCACAAACACCACAUGGAACUUACACACAUCUCUUCAUGUCAAUGCUGAAGGGCACUCAGGGGAGCCACCUGUGAUGCUUAUGAUGGUGAACCAGCAAGGUGAAUUAGGGAAUGCCCCAGCCUCCUCUCAAGUCACUUUCUCACUCAUGCAGACAGCAAAGCUGGGGCUGGUGCCUCAGAAAAGCUGGGCACUCUCUCUGGUCCCCAGGGCUAUCCUGGGACAGCCGAGGAUCACCCAGGCGUAAGCCCAUCCUUGGGCUCUCAUCAUGGUCCCAGCCAGCCAGCAGAGUGUCAGAAUUCCCCGUGUCUCUCUGACCUGCCUCAGCUAGCUCGGGGUCAGAGAGAUAGGAGAUUUUUUAUCCGGCAUGGACAAAGGCAUCCUGCAGGCUUUCUUCCCAUCACUGCAUGUUGGAUACUUCUGACUGACAGCUCCCCGUGACAGACACCAGUGAGGAGGUCUUGUUCAAGGGCUUACAAAUCAACAGAGGCAGAAAACCGUCUAACAAUUUCCUUGCAGCUGUGAGUUCCUCCAGGAAAUGAUACACACUUGCUGUUUUGAGCUGCUUUCAAGGGCUGUUUUGGGUGCCCACCAGCUCCACUCCAUGCAGGUAGCAGCAAACCUGCAGAGCCAAGGAUGGGCACUGUACUCCUGCAGGAUGGCAGCUCCAGCAUCAGCUCCCAGCAGGAAGGAGAAAGCUGUGCCCCAGGGAUCUCUGUGAGCAUGGAUGGUGGUCUGGGACCCUGCACCACCAGCCCUGGCAUGGCAUGGACACCUUGAUCCAGCACACACAGCUUUGCCUUGGGAUGGUGGAGCCUCUGGACUCCAGGAGCUGAAGGUGAGGACGUAGAGGUCAGGCUGAGUCUGCCCACAGCCUCCAGGUGCCAGCCCCAUUCCCACUGGCCUCAUGGCAGUGCCACCCAGAUACCUCUCAACACCGAGCCCACAGACUGGGUUUUGUGAUGCCGAAUCCAAGAAUUGAUGUGCUGGGUAUUUCCUUGAGGAUCUUGGCUUCAGGGUUUCUCCAGCAUGGACUUGCAGGGAAGCAGUGCAGCAGGAUGUCUGGCAGAGACUUCACCUCCCAGCAGCAGCUCCAGGCUCUGCAAGCAGGACUCGGCACCACUCUAAAGCCAUUUUGUCCCCACGGAUGGGCACUCAGGACUGGGCAAAGCCACGGUCUCCUCCUCUGCCCUGUCCUGCUCUGCAAUGCAUUACGUGGGCUUCAAAGUGGGGCUGCACCUUCUGCUCAUCGAGACCUCCGGGGGCGCCUCUGCCGCCCCACUCGUCCAGCCUGAAGGAUGGGGCUGCCAUGAAUGCGUCCUGAGCACUGCUCAGGGGACGGGCUGCAGCCGGACAUCAGGUGGGCAUGCCGCACCUCCCCGGCUGCACACCCGGCAAACCUACCCUGGCUCCGUUUUAAGACUCUCCCUCACCCCAUGGAAUAGUGGAAGUGUUUCUACGAGAUCCAGGACGCCAGUUAAUCCCUGGCCGCAGCGAGCUGCACACAGCAAAAGGACUUCUAACACACAGAGCCAUCGCUGGGCAAAUCCAAGAGCCUGAGCCUUUAUUUCAGCCUCUGUAAGCAUCAUUUGGGAAAAAUCCAUAUUUUUUUGCAGGGAAAGUUCGAGGGCACUCUAUCCAAGUGUUUUGGGCAGGAGAGGAGGAACAAUCAGGCGGAAGCCAGGCAAAGGCUCCGGGUACCCGAUUCAUCCAAAGCCUGUGCUCCCGGCCGCAUCGCGCCUGCCUGUGUUUAGUCUGUGUGGGAGGACAAAUCACUGCGCAAUGUCAUCGCUCUGCCCGGAUCUGGAUUUCAUUAGGAGCCACAUGAUCUGCCCUGGCUGCUGCCGGGGCCUGGCCGCGCUCCUCCCGAGGAGCUGCACAGGAUGCGGGGCGGGGUUCGGGGCGCGGGGCUGAAUGGGCCCCUUGUCUGUAGCAGAGAAGCCGCAGCCUCCUCGUUGGGACGGGCGUUUUUUCCCCCUGAGGGGCUUGGAGACCGAAAAUAUCAUGAAGGGAAGGGAUUGCAGCCUGCAGCUGUCCCCUGCUCAGAUGGUGACUGCUAUUGAGUUAUUUCCCAGGGAUUUAGCGGGUCCCUUUUCUGCUGGAAGUGGCUCUGCAGGAUCAGGCUGUGUUCUGUCCCUUUGCUGAGCCUUUUUUUCUGUGAUUUUUUAGGUCUUGUCCCCACUCGCCUGAAUCGGGAGCAGGGAGGGACGUUCCCUGCAUUCUGCCCGCUCCCCCCCGUGCUUGUAGGUGCGCGGGCUGCAUCUCGGGGAUUUCUGUCAUAGGAAUCAUCUCUCUGUUUUCCGCUUGCACUUGUGAUUUGCAUUUGCUUGCAAUAACUUCAUACACUACUCUGCAAGCAGAAAGGAGCUUUGCAGCUGCGGGAUUUCCAAGCGUGGUUGCAUUGAAGAGUCUGAGAUUCAAAGCAUCCCAGAAAAACGGAUUAAACAGAUUUUUAGGGUCCUCAUUUGGGAAUUAUUCCUGGGCCCAUUUUGUUCCCAGGACCCACGAGCUGGGGUCCCUGCCCCUGCCCAAAGUCGGGCUGCUGACACAGAGGGACACAGAUACUAACUGGACAACCCCAGCCAAGGGAUAGGUGUUGGCUCCAGGCUGAUGCAACCCCUGAAUACAGUCAUAUCCUUUACAUCUCUUGCAUCCCUUGGAUCCUUUACAUCCCAUUGUGACCCUUACAUCCCAUUACACUCUCUGAAUCCAUUGCAGCCUCCUUGCAUGCCUUGCAUUCUUAAUAGCUUAAUUGCUGCAGCCCUGUCAGCAUCCUUUACAUCCCUUACAUCCAUUCCAUCCUUCUCACCUCACCGAAUCCCUUAUGUCCUGCUGCAUCCUUUGUGUCCCCUGCAGCCUGCUGUGUCACUUGCACCCCAUACAUCCUUUGCAUUCACCCCUUGCUGCCCAUGGUGCCUGUACACAGCUCCCAGCCAAGCCCACACACAUCUGUCUCAUCUGAGGUCAUUCUUGGUUAUGAAGCCCUGUGCAGUGACCUGGGAGUACCUGCACCAGCCAGCCAGGAGCCUCUCCAGCAUGUCCAGGGGAAGCAGCUCCUGGCCCUUGCCCAGGCUCCUCAGGCAGGGUGUUGUCCAUGGAGUGAUAUAGACUUGCCACCUCACCCCAAGCAGACCUGACACCCUUCUCUCUGCAGGUAGCAAAGACAUGGAAGGCUCCUGGGCUGCUGAGCCACAAUCCACAAGAAUUUGCCUGGGCUGAGCAUCCAUGUCCCAUUCCAGGAAUGAUGUGCACUCAGGACACAUGGCUGCAGCAUCCCCUCUGAAUCCCCAUGGAGAUUGGCCCCGACAAGCAAAGCCUGGACAUGUUUUCUGACAUGUUUCCAAUGAUGCAUGCUGCCCUUCCAGCCCAGUAGCUCCUAGUCUCCCAGCUACACCAGCAGCCAGCUGGCAAGGGAGCAUGCAGGCUUCACCCAGCACCACCAAGAGCCAGUGACCACCUCGAUCCAGAUCUUAUUUUAGCUACAGCUCAGGGGUGAAAUUCCCAUUCAGAUACUCAGCUCCAGAGGCCAGAGCAGGGGAAACACUUUUACUCUACAGUGUUUAAAUUGGAAUAAAUCUGGUGAGCCUGAGGCUGAGGCUCUGGCAGUCCCAGCCAUGCCCUCCCCUUGCCUGGGGGAUGAGAUGAGGGCCCACAAAAAGGUUUAAAUGGCCUGAAAAGGGAGGGAACAAGGCCGGGGAGAGGUGGCAAAGCCACUGCCACUGCAGUGGGUGACCACGCAGCCAAUGUAGGGUAGAGUCAGAGGGCUUCUGCUGGAGCCCCUACCUCAGAGGGCUGAUGCAGCUCUUGGAAGAUCCAAAGAGAAGUUGGAGGAGACUUGAGGAAACCAUCCAAGCCAAGCUGGCUGAGAAGAGACAAAUCUGGCCUUGAGGAGAGGAGCCCCCCAGACCUGACUCUGCAGGGGGGUUGCUGCUUCAGGAAAACUCUGGCUCCAACCCUGGCUCAGGCACCAGCCAGGGAUGAGCUGCAGGCACCGUGGCUUGGGCUGAGCUGCUGUCCAGACAC